This 729-nucleotide ribosomal RNA is filed under the name Leucocoryne coquimbensis var. alba (nom. inval.). RNAcentral describes it as "eukaryotic LSU rRNA". The stretch from base 288 to 443 matches the Rfam family "5.8S ribosomal RNA". Lineage: Eukaryota; Viridiplantae; Streptophyta; Magnoliopsida; Asparagales; Amaryllidaceae. The record is from RNAcentral.
UUUUCCGUGGGGGGACCUGCGGAAGGAUCAUUGUCGAUAUCCAAGAGUAAGAAUGAGAACUUGUGAUGGUGCCUUUUGGGAGCAGAGGCAACAAAAAAACUGCGUAGCCUUCUUUCUCUCUAUGACACCCCUUGCCGCUACUGCCCCGUGUUAAAACGGGAUUGGUGGUGGGAACAUGACCCCGGUGCGUUCUGCACCAAGGAAUAAUUUUGCUGGAUAGCAUUGCGUGCUUUUAUGCCUAGCUUCGUGGCAUGUGAUGUGAUCCUUGCUAACGUGAGAACCUGCAUGACUCUCGGCAACGGAUAUCUUGGCUCUUGCAUCGAUGAAGAACGUAGCAAAAUGCGAUACUUGGUGUGAAUUGCAGAAUCCCGUGAAUCAUCGAGUUUUUGAACGCAAGUAGCGCCCAAGGCCAUCUGGUUGAGGGCACGUCUGCCUGGGCGUCACACUUAGCGUCACUUCAUGCACCUAGUCAACAGUGGUUUGCUUUGUGCUUGCAUGUGUAGAUUGGCCCCUUGAGCUUUUUUGGCAUUGUGGGCUGAAGUGUGGGCUUUGCCGCUAGUUUUGGACGCGGUGAGUGGUGGGUGGACUUUGUGCUCGAUGCCUUUUCUCCGUGGACUAUAGAAACUAGCUUAAUAAGCGAAAAAAGAACCAAUGCAGAUGGAGAUUUAUUGCAUCUUCAAACCAUGACCCCAGGUCAGGUGGGAACACCUGCUGAGCUUAAGCAUAUCA